Molecule: ribosomal RNA, 405 nt
Filed under: uncultured bacterium
Lineage: Bacteria
Description: bacterial SSU rRNA
Rfam family: Bacterial small subunit ribosomal RNA
Source: RNAcentral
UGGGGAAUAUUGGACAAUGGGGGCAACCCUGAUCCAGCUACGCCGCGUGAGUGAUGAAGGCCUUAGGGUUGUAAAACUCUGUCGUGAGUGAGGAAAUAAGACGUUAACUCACAAGAAAGCACCGGCUAACUCCGUGCCAGCAGCCGCGGUAAUACGGAGGGUGCAAGCGUUGCUCGGAAUUACUGGGCGUAAAGGGUGCGCAGGCGGAUUGUUAAGCAAGAUGUGAAAGCCCAAGGCUCAACCUUGGAACUGCAUCUUGAACUGGCAAUCUUGAGUCCGUGAGAGGGGGGUAGAAUUCCAGGUGUAGAGGUGAAAUUCGUUGAUAUCUGGAGGAAUACCGGUGGCGAAGGCGGCCCCCUGGCACGGUACUGACGCUGAGGCACGAAAGCGUGGGGAGCAAACAGG